CGCCUACGGGGGGCAGCAGUGGGGAAUAUUGCACAAUGGGGGAAACCCUGAUGCAGCGACGCCGCGUGAGUGAAGAAGUAUUUCGGUAUGUAAAGCUCUAUCAGCAGGGAAGAAAAUGACGGUACCUGACUAAGAAGCCCCGGCUAACUACGUGCCAGCAGCCGCGGUAAUACGUAGGGGGCAAGCGUUAUCCGGAUUUACUGGGUGUAAAGGGAGCGUAGACGGCGAAGCAAGUCUGAUGUGAAAGGCAGGGGCUCAACCCCUGGACUGCAUUGGAAACUGUUUUGCUAGAGUGCCGGAGAGGG
RNAcentral lists this ribosomal RNA (305 nucleotides) under uncultured bacterium. Its description in RNAcentral is "bacterial SSU rRNA". It matches the Rfam family "Bacterial small subunit ribosomal RNA", at positions 336 to 658 of the family's 1533-position model. The record is from RNAcentral.